This 998-nucleotide long non-coding RNA is filed under the name Fukomys damarensis (Damara mole-rat). RNAcentral describes it as "lncRNA (ENSFDAG00000025527.1)". Lineage: Eukaryota; Metazoa; Chordata; Mammalia; Rodentia; Bathyergidae. The record is from RNAcentral.
GCUCUGUUCUUGCAAUUUUUCUUCCUUUUGCCUACGGCAUUUCCUGGUGUGUGAGGAGUAGGGUGAUUGCCAUUGAACCCCACUAAUUCCUGUGAUUUUACUUUGUGGGAAGUUCUGAUACAUCCAGUAACUGAUGGCCCUGAGAAUGUGCAUGAGCUCCUGCGCUUGGCUGACAAAGGCUUUGGUGCCGGGGUUACUGACAACUAGAAAAGGCGUUGAGUCCACAGGAAUCUGUCCCAGCGAUGAGCUUACUGAGGUUGAGGAGAAACUGCCAUUUCCGCCCUUCCCUGUUAUAAUGGUGGACUAUCCAGAAGGACAGCAAUACUUGAAGCCAAUGGAUGGGAGCCCCCACCCAAAAGAAGAUUCGGAACCCAGAACAACAAACCAAGACCAUACUUGUUUACCCAUCCCAUCUGGGGCAUUUUCCCUGGAAGGCUCCUUCUCUGGGGCAAGCAAGCUUUAAUGAUGAAGUCCCUGAUGAGCUUUAUUGGGUGGUAGUGAUCACCUAAAGCACAGGCUUGGAAAGAUGUUGAUGCCGAGCCUGCACUCCACAGGGAAGAUGUUUGACUGGUUAGCUAGUGAUGCCAACAGUUGAGGCUGCCCUUGUGAAUGCAGGCAAGAGUUCAGAAGUCCAGGGCACAAUUCAGGCUUCGGGAAGCUCAGAGGAAUGAAAUGAAAGGCAAUCAAUUACUCUCCAAAGGCAGAUAUAAAAGGAAAGGGGCGCAAAACCAUGGGAGAUCCUCAAUAAAACUAUACUGGAAAAUUUCAAUGAUUUCCUAACUCUGCCCAAAAGCAACCCAGAAGGGUCUGAGAAAUAGCCCAGAAAAUUCAAGCAACAGUUCAGAAUACUGGGAUCCCCAAAGUAAGCCCAAAGAACCCAAAUGAAACAAAGACACGAAAUAAUAGAACAUAAAAAUAAAACCAAUUCCCGUCCUCAUCUUUGGAAACAUUAAUCUGAGUAGCAGUAUUUGUAAUCAGCAAAAACAGUAAACAACAAG